UUCCUUGGAAAAGGACAGCUGAGAGGGUGAAACUCCCGUCCGCCUGGUAGAAUGAGUCUUUGUCAAUGAGUCGAGUUAUUUGGGGUUGCAGCUCUAAUUUGGUGGUAAAUUCCAUCUAAAGCUAAAUAUUGGUGGGAGACCGAUAGCGUACAAGUACCGUGAGGGAAAGAUGCAAAGAACUUUGAAAAGAGAGUUAAAGAGUACCUGAAAUUGCUGAAACGGAAGCGAAGGAAACCAGUGUUUGUUGGUUCAUAUUUCCUUGGCCACUUGUGGUUUGGGCG
This 281-nucleotide ribosomal RNA is filed under the name Pseudo-nitzschia fraudulenta. RNAcentral describes it as "partial 28S ribosomal RNA". It matches the Rfam family "Eukaryotic large subunit ribosomal RNA", at positions 186 to 475 of the family's 3401-position model. The record is from RNAcentral. Lineage: Eukaryota; Bacillariophyta; Bacillariophyceae; Bacillariales; Bacillariaceae.